RNAcentral lists this ribosomal RNA (492 nucleotides) under uncultured bacterium. RNAcentral describes it as "partial 16S ribosomal RNA". It matches the Rfam family "Bacterial small subunit ribosomal RNA", at positions 29 to 507 of the family's 1533-position model. The record is from RNAcentral.
AGUGAACGCUGGCGGUAGGCCUAACACAUGCAAGUCGAACGGCAGCACAGUAAGAGCUUGCUCUUACGGGUGGCGAGUGGCGGACGGGUGAGGAAUACAUCGGAAUCUACUUUUUCGUGGGGGAUAACGUAGGGAAACUUACGCUAAUACCGCAUACGACAUACGGGUGAAAGCAGGGGAUCUUCGGACCUUGCGCGAUUGAAUGAGCCGAUGUCGGAUUAGCUAGUUGGCGGGGUAAAGGCCCACCAAGGCGACGAUCCGUAGCUGGUCUGAGAGGAUGAUCAGCCACACUGGAACUGAGACACGGUCCAGACUCCUACGGGAGGCAGCAGUGGGGAAUAUUGGACAAUGGGCGCAAGCCUGAUCCAGCCAUACCGCGUGGGUGAAGAAGGCCUUCGGGUUGUAAAGCCCUUUUGUUGGGAAAGAAAAGCAGCAGGUUAAUACCCCACUGUUCUGACGGUACCCAAAGAAUAAGCACCGGCUAACCUCGUG